This is a long non-coding RNA of Sciurus carolinensis (gray squirrel), 1483 nucleotides long. RefSeq lists it as uncharacterized. The transcript is spliced from 3 exons. NCBI's taxonomy places the organism in Eukaryota, Metazoa, Chordata, Mammalia, Rodentia, Sciuridae. The record is from RefSeq and is a predicted model, not a curated record.
CAGAUGGCUUCUGAAAUGCUUUCCUUCCCCUGAAUAAAUGGACGUCCAUUUCACUUACUAAUAAAGGCAUUACCAAGCCACUACAAAACAUGAAAUUACAUAUGAGGCCUGUAUUACAUUUCUCUUGAAGGAGUGUUAUUCUCCGUGAUCAAAAGGCAAGUCUCUGUGGAGGCAUGCCAUUAUUGACAAAAGGCUCUCCUCCUGAAGGAGAAAUCUUUAUAUGAAAACAAAACAUCAAAGAGAUAUGACAGUUAAAGCAUUCUUCAAACUUUUGCUUCACUGUCAGGAAGAAAGGAAAAUGCUGGAGGAAGUAAAACUCAGACCAGGUGGGACAAGACCUGGAAAGGCAUGUUUGUUCAAUUUUCUCAGCGUCCUCUUUGUUAUCUGUGGACUUGGUUAUCAAGGGUUGUGUUAAAACAGCAGUGGACAUAGACAAUGUCACUGUCCUUCCACUUGUAGGAUCAUUUCCAAAAUGUGCACAUAGAAUAAGAUGAAACACAUAUGGUGCUAUGGAGCCUCACAUGUAUAGACAACCUAUAAUCUUUAGGGCAUGACCAAGCUUAAAAUUCUGGAUAUUAAACUUAAAAGGCGCAGUGGCACGUGUUGCAGUUUGGCAUCUACCCCACUUAGCGACACUCUGGUGAUUUGAAUUCUGCGGCUUCUUUGGUCUUACAGGGAUCUUCAGUAUUUUGAGUCUUCUCUUUCAACUAUUUCCCAGACCUAUUUUUCAGGUCAAGAGAAGCAAGGGACUGACACCAAAAAAUAACUCAUUAUUGAGGUGGAACUAAUCUGAAUUCUCUGAAAACCUGGGUUCAGGCUUGCAUAUUUUCUCCGCCAUUUGUGCAAUCUUAGGAAAGAUGCUUUACUGCUCCGUUUUUCUUUUGUGUGAAAUGAGACAGGAAGGAAUUCUCCCUUGGAACUGCUGUGAGGAGCAAAUGAAAUGUACCUGGGAUGCUUCUAAGCUCUGUUCCUGAGUAUCAACAGGUCCUGGGACUGAAGAUGUCAGGAGACACAUCCUUGAUCCUUUAGUGAUAUCAUUAUGCUUUAUAAAAUGGGACAUCAGGACCAUGAUUUCUUGAGACUGCCACCAUUUUUCUACAUUUUCAAUGUAAAGAAUUUUCUUAGGGAGGAGCUGACACUAUAUUUUGCUGUUGGCUUGUCAUGGACGACAAAUUAGAGAAUGGAUGGCUAUUGUAUGAUAACACCAGGCUAGGGGACCUGCCUACACAGCAUCUGUCAGAAAGACUUCUGUGUCUGUGCGUUCAGCAUGUGUGACCCGGGGUGACUUGGUGUCACAAGACCCGCUUGUUGCGGAGGGUGUCAGUUUGCAACAAUUAUAAAGAAGCUUCCGGAUGCGAGAAGUAACUUCCAAAUGCCUUUCUUUUGCAACAUCAAGGAUACUGUCCUCCACAGUUGUCAAAAGGCAUGGCUGUACAACCUUGUAGGAGAAGCAGAGAGGAGAACCAAGAGAACUUCAGUUCAG